This 253-nucleotide ribosomal RNA is filed under the name uncultured bacterium. RNAcentral's name for it is "partial 16S ribosomal RNA". It matches the Rfam family "Bacterial small subunit ribosomal RNA", at positions 524 to 776 of the family's 1533-position model. The record is from RNAcentral.
UACGGAGGGUGCGAGCGUUGUCCGGAAUCACUGGGCGUAAAGGGCGCGUAGGUGGCUAGGUAAGCGUGUGGUGAAAGUCCGGGGCUCAACCCCGGAUCUGCCGUGCGAACUGCCAGGCUUGAGCAAUGUAGAGGCAGGUGGAAUUUCGGGUGUAGCGGUGGAAUGCGUAGAUAUGCGAAAGAACACCGGUGGCGAAGGCGGCCUGCUGGGCAUUUGCUGACGCUGAGGCGCGAAAGCGUGGGGAGCAAACAGA